CCUACGGGCGGCAGCAGUGGGGAAUAUUGCACAAUGGGGGAAACCCUGAUGCAGCGACGCCGCGUGAGUGAAGAAGUACUUCGGUAUGUAAAGCUCUAUCAGCAGGGAAGAAAAUGACGGUACCUGACUAAGAAGCCCCGGCUAAAUACGUGCCAGCAGCCGCGGUAAUACGUAGGGGGCAAGCGUUAUCCGGAUUUACUGGGUGUAAAGGGAGCGUAGGUGGCGUGGUAAGCCAGAAGUGAAAACCCGGGGUUCAACCCCGCGUAUUGCUUUUGGAACUAGCAGGCUGGAGUGCUGGAGGGGUAAGCGGAAUUCCAGGUGUAGCGGUGAAAUGCGUAGAUAUUAGGAGGAACACCGGUGGCGAAGGCGGCUUACUGGACAGAAACUGACGCUGAGGCUCGAAAGCGUGGGGAGCAAACAGGAUUAGAUACCCUAGUAGUC
Molecule: ribosomal RNA, 441 nt
Filed under: uncultured bacterium
Lineage: Bacteria
Description: partial 16S ribosomal RNA
Rfam family: Bacterial small subunit ribosomal RNA
Source: RNAcentral